RNAcentral lists this ribosomal RNA (551 nucleotides) under Escherichia coli. RNAcentral describes it as "partial 23S ribosomal RNA". It matches the Rfam family "Bacterial large subunit ribosomal RNA", at positions 1 to 591 of the family's 2925-position model. The record is from RNAcentral. Lineage: Bacteria; Pseudomonadati; Pseudomonadota; Gammaproteobacteria; Enterobacterales; Enterobacteriaceae.
GGUUAAGCGACUAAGCGUACACGGUGGAUGCCCUGGCAGUCAGAGGCGAUGAAGGACGUGCUAAUCUGCGAUAAGCGUCGGUAAGGUGAUAUGAACCGUUAUAACCGGCGAUUUCCGAAUGGGGAAACCCAGUGUGAUUCGUCACACUAUCAUUAACUGAAUCCAUAGGUUAAUGAGGCGAACCGGGGGAACUGAAACAUCUAAGUACCCCGAGGAAAAGAAAUCAACCGAGAUUCCCCCAGUAGCGGCGAGCGAACGGGGAGGAGCCCAGAGCCUGAAUCAGUGUGUGUGUUAGUGGAAGCGUCUGGAAAGGCGCGCGAUACAGGGUGACAGCCCCGUACACAAAAAUGCACAUGCUGUGAGCUCGAUGAGUAGGGCGGGACACGUGGUAUCCUGUCUGAAUAUGGGGGGACCAUCCUCCAAGGCUAAAUACUCCUGACUGACCGAUAGUGAACCAGUACCGUGAGGGAAAGGCGAAAAGAACCCCGGCGAGGGGAGUGAAAAAGAACCUGAAACCGUGUACGUACAAGCAGUGGGAGCACAGAGCAAUC